This 253-nucleotide ribosomal RNA is filed under the name uncultured bacterium. Its description in RNAcentral is "partial 16S ribosomal RNA". It matches the Rfam family "Bacterial small subunit ribosomal RNA", at positions 524 to 776 of the family's 1533-position model. The record is from RNAcentral.
UACGGAGGGUGCGAGCGUUAUCCGGAAUUACUGGGUUUAAAGGGUGCGUAGGCGGCUUUGUAAGUCAGGAGUGAAAGUUUGCGGCUCAACCGUAAAAUUGCUUCUGAUACUGCAUGGCUAGAAUUAGGAUGAGGUCAGCGGAAUGUGGCAUGUAGCGGUGAAAUGCAUAGAUAUGCCAUAGAACACCAAUUGCGAAGGCAGCUGACUAGACCUGGAUUGACGCUGAGGCACGAAAGCGUGGGGAGCGAACAGG